Long non-coding RNA from Xenopus tropicalis (tropical clawed frog), 764 nucleotides. RefSeq lists it as uncharacterized. The transcript has 4 exons. The record is from RefSeq and is a predicted model, not a curated record. Lineage: Eukaryota; Metazoa; Chordata; Amphibia; Anura; Pipidae.
GCGUCAGUGUGCAAUAGAAUAUCUAGACUUGGGUGCUUGUGUUCCUUAAAAGAUGGGGGUGGCAGUUUUUGCGGGUUGGGGCUGUUUUGGGAGUGACUGCACAGGUUGUCGAGAAACUGUAUAGUGGAUGUAUUAACCCCUACAGCCACCUGCCUGGUCACGUACGUCUGUGGUGGUGUUCGUGACACAGAGAUAGGAAAAAUACUUUCACUUUUGUAUUCCCUCACCCAUAGCACAGUUAGGAGCAAAGGGAAUGAGCAGAAAAGGAGCAAACUGAGUACUGACAGAGAAAGCACCAGAGAAGGAGACUGACGGGAUUGCAAUGGGAAUCAUUAUUACAUUUGUCUUACAUACAUUAUAUUGGGUUUUUAAGAUUGCGAUGGGAAUCACUAUUACAUUUACAUUAUAUUGGGUUUGUAUGAAGAUUGCCCAGUUCAUUCCAGAAGGCAUCAAGGAAAGAGUAGAGAAUUACUUACACGUGAGAUCCCAUUUACGUAUUUUGUUUUAAAACAGUUAGAAAGCAACAGGUUUCUCAAAGACUGCAACAAAAACCAUCUCUGUGAGCCCCCCCAUACCAUGUUGUUUCAGCAGUUUCAUGUUGGUUUGGUCAUAUUAACAUUUCUCUAGUCAGUCCCACAGGAAAGUCCUAUUCUUACUGAUGUAGACUCUUCUCAUUUUCAACCUUCUUCAUGUUUGGUCACAUCCAGUGGUGCUCACCUGCAGACCUCCCAAACUCUUAGGGGCAGAUUUAUCAAAAUGUGAGU